RNAcentral lists this ribosomal RNA (730 nucleotides) under uncultured Actinomycetes bacterium. RNAcentral describes it as "bacterial SSU rRNA". It matches the Rfam family "Bacterial small subunit ribosomal RNA", at positions 111 to 853 of the family's 1533-position model. Lineage: Bacteria; Bacillati; Actinomycetota; Actinomycetes. The record is from RNAcentral.
GAACACGUGAAGAAUCUGCCCUCCACUUUGGGAUAACACCGGGAAACCGGUGCUAAUACCGAAUAUUGAAACAUAAGUGGCAUCACUGAGUUUUGAAAGAAUUUCGGUGGAGGAUGACUUCGCGGCCUAUCAGCUAGUUGGUGAGGUAAUGGCUCACCAAGGCAACGACGGGUAGCCGGCCUGAGAGGGCGACCGGCCACACUGGGACUGAGACACGGCCCAGACUCCUACGGGAGGCAGCAGUGGGGAAUAUUGGGCAAUGGAGGAAACUCUGACCCAGCGACGCCGCGUGCGGGAUGAAGGCCUUCGGGUUGUAAACCGCUUUCAGUAGGGAAGAAGCGAAAGUGACGGUACCUACAAAAGAAGCACCGGCUAACUAUGUGCCAGCAGCCGCGGUAAUACAUAGGGUGCAAGCGUUGUCCGGAAUUAUUGGGCGUAAAGAGCUCGUAGGUCGUUUGUUACGUCGGAUGUGAAAACCUGAGGCUCAACCUCAGGCCUGCAUUCGAUACGGGCAAACUAGAGUUUGGUAGGGGAGACUGGAAUUCCUGGUGUAGCGGUGGAAUGCGCAGAUAUCAGGAGGAACACCAAUGGCGAAGGCAGGUCUCUGGGCCAAUACUGACACUGAGGAGCGAAAGUCUGGGGAGCGAACAGGAUUAGAUACCCUGGUAGUCCAGACCGUAAACGGUGGGCACUAGUUGUGGGAACCUUCCACGGUUUCUGCGACGCAGCU